Molecule: ribosomal RNA, 557 nt
Filed under: Trichoderma harzianum
Lineage: Eukaryota; Fungi; Ascomycota; Sordariomycetes; Hypocreales; Hypocreaceae
Description: eukaryotic LSU rRNA
Rfam family: 5.8S ribosomal RNA (bases 199-352)
Source: RNAcentral
GAGUUUACAACUCCCAAACCCAAUGUGAACGUUACCAAACUGUUGCCUCGGCGGGAUCUCUGCCCCGGGUGCGUCGCAGCCCCGGACCAAGGCGCCCGCCGGAGGACCAACCAAAACUCUUUUUGUAUACCCCCUCGCGGGUUUUUUAUAAUCUGAGCCUUCUCGGCGCCUCUCGUAGGCGUUUCGAAAAUGAAUCAAAACUUUCAACAACGGAUCUCUUGGUUCUGGCAUCGAUGAAAAACGCAGCGAAAUGCGAUAAGUAAUGUGAAUUGCAAAAUUCAGUGAAUCAUCGAAUCUUUGAACGCACAUUGCGCCCGCCAGUAUUCUGGCGGGCAUGCCUGUCCGAGCGUCAUUUCAACCCUCGAACCCCUCCGGGGGGUCGGCGUUGGGGAUCGGCCCUCCCUUAGCGGGUGGCCGUCUCCGAAAUACAGUGGCGGUCUCGCCGCAGCCUCUCCUGCGCAGUAGUUUGCACACUCGCAUCGGGAGCGCGGCGCGUCCACAGCCGUUAAACACCCAACUUCUGAAAUGUUGACCUCGGAUCAGGUAGGAAUACCCGC